CCAGACUCCUACGGGAGGCAGCAGUGGGGAAUAUUGCACAAUGGGGGAAACCCUGAUGCAGCGACGCCGCGUGAGUGAAGAAGUAUUUCGGUAUGUAAAGCUCUAUCAGCAGGGAAGAAAAUGACGGUACCUGAUUAAGAAGCCCCGGCUAACUACGUGCCAGCAGCCGCGGUAAUACGUAGGGGGCAAGCGUUAUCCGGAUUUACUGGGUGUAAAGGGAGCGUAGACGGCAGCACAAGUCUGGAGUGAAAAGGCGGGGGCUAACCCCGGAACUGCUUUGGAAACUGUGCAGCUAGAGUGCAGGAGAGGUAAGUGGAAUUCCUAGUGUAGCGGUGAAAUGCGUAGAUAUUAGGAGGAACACCAGUGGCGAAGGCGGCUUACUGGACUGUAACUGACGUUGAGGCUCGAAAGCGUGGGGAGCAAACAGGAUUAGAUACCCUUGUA
This 444-nucleotide ribosomal RNA is filed under the name uncultured bacterium. RNAcentral describes it as "bacterial SSU rRNA". It matches the Rfam family "Bacterial small subunit ribosomal RNA", at positions 331 to 792 of the family's 1533-position model. The record is from RNAcentral.